Molecule: non-coding RNA, 26 nt
Filed under: Cricetulus griseus (Chinese hamster)
Lineage: Eukaryota; Metazoa; Chordata; Mammalia; Rodentia; Cricetidae
Source: RNAcentral
GUAAGUAGUAGAACGGGGUUGAGCUG